This 279-nucleotide ribosomal RNA is filed under the name uncultured bacterium. Its description in RNAcentral is "partial 16S ribosomal RNA". It matches the Rfam family "Bacterial small subunit ribosomal RNA", at positions 506 to 784 of the family's 1533-position model. The record is from RNAcentral.
UGCCAGCAGCCGCGGUAAUACGGAGGGGGCUAACGUUGUUCGGAAUUACUGGGCGUAAAGCGCGCGUAGGCGGAUUAGACAGUUGAGGGUGAAAUCCCGGAGCUUAACUCCGGAACUGCCUUCAAUACUACUAAUCUUGAGUUCGGAAGAGGUGAGUGGAAUUCCUAGUGUAGAGGUGAAAUUCGUAGAUAUUAGGAAGAACAUCAGUGGCGAAGGCGACUCACUGGUCCGAUACUGACGCUGAGAGACGACAGCUAGGGGAGCAAAUGGGAUUAGAUA